This 1246-nucleotide unclassified non-coding RNA is filed under the name Hevea brasiliensis (rubber tree). The record is from RNAcentral. Lineage: Eukaryota; Viridiplantae; Streptophyta; Magnoliopsida; Malpighiales; Euphorbiaceae.
UGAAUGCUCUUGAACGAUUAAAAAGACGCCACUUCACAAAAACGACGCGGUUUGGAUUUUACCCUUCACCCAUUGUCCUAACAGUUGGCGUGAGAUAUUGGAUCUUUAGAAACCUUAUAAAGAACAGGCCAAUUUAAGUAGCAAAUUUAGAAACCUUACAAAGAUUGCAUGCGUUUGUUCAUUCUACUAUUUCAAUUAAUUAAUUGAGAAAAAAAAAUCAGGUUUAUCUACUAUAUGAAGCAAGCACUAAGCAAAGCUGGGCGAUAGGGUGAGGAAAAGAGAUGUAAUUAAGUUUGAGAAUUAAUGAGAUGCUGAUUUAUUUUAUUCCUUAAAGCUAUUCUACUAAUUUGUUAUUUGAAGUAUUAAGAAGGAUGAAGGGCAGAGAUUUUCAUGUGUUAUCAUCUACAGAAUCAGAUAGGCUUGCUUAGAGUAAAUUAUUUUAAUUUUUAAUGGUUCAUUUUUGGGUGUUAACAAUUUUGAUGUUGCUUCCAUUUUCGAUAGAGAGCGUCUUCAUAAGCAGGUUUUCACCUCUCAAAUUCAAAAUUUUAGUUCAUUUAUUUUCUCUUGGUUUCUCUGUCACCUGCAUUUAGUACUAGAGAUUUUUUUGUUUUCAACAUUUGAAUAUUUUAUAUCUAAGUAGCAAUCUUUAGUGAAAAGUUAAAACUCAAUUACCUUUAUUAAAUCAUGUUACGUUAACAGUCGAAAAGAUUAAGAAUAAUCGGUCAUUCAUAAUACAUAGCUUUCUCAUGUUUUAGCAUAAAAUUAAACAUGUCUCUUUUCAAAACAAACAUAGAAAUCUUAAUUAAUGACUGUGGUUUAGUACGUUAAGUUAACGUGUAAACAAGAAACAUUACACCAUAUUAUAUUUUUGAUGGGGUUUAUAUAAAAUAAAUGAAGGGAAUCAUAAUCCAAGAUCCACAAAUAAAAUUAACCAAAUGAAGAUAAAAACUUGAUUGAAGCUCUUAUCAUGCAUCGAUUGUAAUAUUGAGUAUUUAUUGGCAUUAUGUCAAGGCUCAUUGACUCUACCGUCAACUUUAGAUUAACCAGUGCAUAUACCAUGAUUUUGUGAGGCUCCAAGACAUUCAAAAACAUCUUGACUGCUCUAAGAUUCAGGUUUUAUAAUGAUUUUUAUUCAAGGUUAAUGAUUAGUUAUUCACUUGAUUGAUUUAGUAAUUAGUUAUUGUUUAAGUAAUUGAAUUGCUAUAAUUGAAAUUUUUACCUUGCUUCCUCAUAACAGUAGACAGUA